UCGACAAGCGGGUUUACGACCUCGAUGUUGGAUCAGGGUGUCCUAGUGGUGCAGCCGCUACUAAGGGUUCGUUUGUUCAACGAUUAAAACCCCACGUGAUCUGAGUUCAGACCGGAGUAAUCCAGGUCAGUUUCUAUCUAUAGACUUAGGGCUUUUUCCAGUACGAAAGGACCAAAAAAGCAUGGCCUAUUUUAAACAAAGCCAUUAUUAAUUAUUUUUGACCCCCUUAAAAAAUAACUAACCUUCUUUUUUCUCAAGAAAAGAGUA
Molecule: ribosomal RNA, 267 nt
Filed under: Niceforonia brunnea
Lineage: Eukaryota; Metazoa; Chordata; Amphibia; Anura; Strabomantidae
Description: Hypodactylus brunneus partial 16S ribosomal RNA
Rfam family: Bacterial large subunit ribosomal RNA
Source: RNAcentral